CAGGUGCUCUUGGAAAGUGUGGAUAUCAGUCUCUCCAGCCCCGACCUGUCUCAGAGUACUUUAUUUUAUAUGUUCACAAAUCACAUAGCAAAGGGAGGGUGCAGUUACUUAGAACAGCCUGUGAAUAUUAUUCUCACAUUUCAGUUAACAUACUUUAGCUAAGAAACUAUCUUGCAGUGAGGUCAGUGAAAGCUGGUUAUCUCUUUCUAGGCUUGUCUGCUUCACCCCAAAACAUACACAUCCUCCUAUUACGGUUUCACUUCUCUGGAGUUCACCCAAAGUUCACAACAGCCUUGCUGCUGAUCCCCUCAGAGGGGGUGGGUUGGCUACUCUGGCUCUCUACACUUAUGUGAUUGUCAAAAAAUAUAUAAAACUUAUACAUAAAGCUUGUAAAUUCCAGCAAUUUGCUGGUUCACAUCCAGGGAAUAAAUUUGCUCUCUUCUAUUGUUAGAGAGAAACUCAAAUAUUAAGUCCCAAAGGGUUAUGAAAUAUUCAGAGUUGACAGAGAAAGCCUUGCUAUUCUCUUCAGCUUAACUAAACUUUAAACAGAUUUCCUGGCUAUAGAUUCUUGACCUCAUUUUCUAGAGCAUUUAAUUUAGAAAAAUUACAGCUUUAUAUUGUUUCCCUGCUUCUUUGAGCUAUAAAUCUUCUUGCCAUUUUGACAACAUAGAAAUGUCUUUCUCUGUAAUCCCAGCUAUU
Molecule: long non-coding RNA, 699 nt
Organism: Sapajus apella (tufted capuchin)
Lineage: Eukaryota; Metazoa; Chordata; Mammalia; Primates; Cebidae
Exons: 3
Source: RefSeq, a predicted model, not a curated record